UUUUUUUUUUUUUAAGUUUUCCAGUUUUUCAUUUUUCGUUUUAAUCUUUGUCCAUAUUUUGUUUGGGACAAAAUUGCCCAGUUUUGGCCGUAGGAGAAAUUAAGCACUCGUUAGUCUGCAAAUUCAAAUUCUUAUUUUAAAUUAACUCCGCCACUUUAAAAUUUAUUUAAAAUAAGGUUGUUUGUGAAUUCUAUUUUUUUUUUUUUUUAAAUGCUCCUACUUUAUGCCCUUAUUUAUAAUUUUCCAUCAUCAAUUAACGGUCACUCCCUUGUGCAAAUGUCUAAGAUACAUUUAAGAUCAUGAACCCUAGUGAUUGGAUUUUUUUUUUUCCAUAUAUGUAUCCAUUUCACUUCUAAGACAUUCACUCAAUUUUGUGACAAUAAGCAUCUGGAUUGAGCUUUUAUUCAAAUCACAUUUUCAUGUUUUCUUUGAGCUCUAGGAAGGAUGACGUUUGAAAUUGGUUAUGAUGAUACAUUCCUGGAGAUUAAAGGGAAGAUAAAAAAAUAACACGAAAAAUCCAUCUAUGGCCAAACUUUUGUUUUCGACAGUGAGGUUCUUGAAGACGAGCUCAAUGUCGAGGUUGCAACAUCCUCAAUCAUUCCCACAUUUAGGUCAUCUUUGUGCCAGAGUCACUUCCAUCCAUUAAAAUUGAACUUAGCAUAGGAUUGCCACCGUCCGAAAUGUAGCUUCACAUCAAAGUUAACAUGAAUGAUCUUAUGAAACCCUUUAGAGAGGUAGUCUGAUUCCUAGAAGAUGUCCCUCUUGAAUGGGGGAUGCUAUUUGCAAAUGGAACUUAUCUUGAAGAUGAUCACCGGAUUUGCUAUUAUGAGCUUCAGGAAAAUUCCGGUGUCGACAUUCAUAGCAAGCCUCUGUUGAAGAAGUUUGCGAUGAUAGUGUUGCCAUGGAAGGCCAACCUAAAAGUUGUGGUGGAAGUGAAACCGUGGGAUAAAGUAAAGAAUUUGAGGAAAGAGCUCGAGAAGUCACAGCCAAGCCCAAAGUUUGAUCUUCCCUUGGAGGGGUAUUUUUUUCAUACAUAAACAAAGCAGGAUGGAUGAAGAUAAGUCUUUCAAAUUGGCGCGACGUCGAGAUGGGUGAUGGUAUUGAGGUUUUUAGGGGGAGGAUGUCACGGUGAGUCCUGGUUUUUGCUUCCAAUAUCCAUUCAAUGCGGUUUCUCGGGAGAUCUAUGGCAGGAUGACAAUCAGAUUUUUCAAAAAUCAAUUUCUUAUAUCACCUUUCCUCUUCCAUGAAAACACCCACCUUCUCCCUCUCCUCCUUUGCUCUGUUCUCCUCUCUUCAACGCCCUCACAUUUUCCUCCCCCAAAUCGCAAUCUCAAUCCGCUCAGUUUCUCGUCGUCCUUCAUGAUCCACAUCUUCGCCGAAGGAGAUUCUCUUUCUAUUCACUUCCAUCUAGACUCGCCUCUUCAAAGCACUGCAAGUGGAGAGAGACAAGGUAGGGGCAUUUAUUUAUUUAUUUAUUUAUUUGGUAAGGUAAGAGGUAGGGGAAUUUAUUUGUUGACACCUUGUUGGAAAACUUGGGAUUGCGGAGAAGAAGUAAGUUUCUUUCGCGAUCAAAAACAUCCCUUUCUUCUAUAUUAUAACUCUUGUUCUGAUGUAGAAUUCGCGCUGUUUCGAUCGUUUUUCGCUUCUCUGAUUUUGACCCAUUGGGUUUCUUUCUCCCCGUCCCGAGACCCAAGUAGUCUGUCAAUCAAUCAAUCGUUUCGUUGAACCCCCAAAGUCUGAAUCUUCCUUUCUUUCUUUUCUUGAUUUCGUGUCUGGUAUGCUAUUGCAGUGCCUUUUUAUACGCUACGUUCUUGGUUCUCUCACUCUUUUCCCGGUUUUCAAUCUAUUUUUUGUGCUCUUGAUUAUGUGGGUUUGUAGGUUUGCUGGAGAGAGAGAGAGAGAGAGAGAGAGAGAGAGGGUUAUUUGUGUGGGGCACAAGCGUGAUGUUUUGGUGCUUGAAAUCUGCAGAGUGUAAUUGGAGUUUGAUAAGGUAGAAGUUUUGGGAUAUUCCUUUUCCCCUAAUUCUUUUAGUUCAAAGCACAAGUUGUGUGUUACUUCUAUAUAUAUAUAUUGGGCACAACCCCGGAGAAAUUCAAUUUUUAGCUCUUUGUUUCUAGCUCUACCUUCUUGUCACAGGCUGAAAAAGCAGCACGUAUGACGGCUGAAACAAAGAAAUGAACUUUGAAGACGUUUUUGUUGUCAUAGCCUGGGUGUGAAAGCAGGAGAUACUGUGACACUGUUUUACGACCCUGCUGAACACAGCCUUGCAUGGAAAGUCAGAAAUUUAGUUGAGAUAUUCCUAUAACCGACCCACCGGAAUGGGCCAUUGCCGCCACAGAGAAUGGUACCUGCAGAAAAUGGUCCUCAUGUAAAAGCCACUGUGGAAGUUCCAUUGGAUGCUUACAUGAUAGACUUUGUGUUCUCUGAGAGAGAAGAUGGAGGGAUUUUUGACAACAAAGAUGGCAUGGACUACCAAUACCUGUGUUUGGAGGAUUAAUAAGGGAGCCACCAAUGCACACAUUACACAUUGCAGUUGAAAUGGCUCCAAUUGCGAGGGUAAUCUCUAUGUUGUGAUUCCAGGUGGGAGGCCUUGGUGAAGUUGUGACUAGUCUAUCCCAUUCUGUUCAAGAAUUAAAUCACAAUGUUGACAUUGUUCUUCCAAAGUAUUACUUUUUGAACCUUGGCAUUGUCAAUGACUUCCAGCUUCACAGGAGUUAUGGCUGGGGUGAGAAUGAAAUAAAAGUUUCGCAUGGAAAGGUGGAAGGUGUUCCGGUGUACUUUUUGGAGCCACAGAAAGGGAAUUUUCUGGAGAGGCUGCGUAUAUGGCUGUAACAAUGAUGGUGAAAGAUAUUGGGUUUCUUUUGCCAUGCCACAUCAGAGUUUCUACAACAAAGUGGCUUCCAUCCUGAUAUCAUCUGCUGCCAUCAUUGGUCCGGUGCAACCUGUCUCAUGGUUGUUUAAGGACCACGAUGAGUAGUAUGGUCUUAGCAAAGCUCGGAUUGUCUUCACUAUCCACAACCUUGAAUUUGGGGCACAUCUCAUUGGGAAAGCUAUGGCUUACUUGGACAAGGCUAUAACUGUCUCAAAACACUUAUUCGAAAGAGAUUUCUGGAAAUCCUGUUAUUGUUCCUCAACUAUAUAAAAUUCAUGGCAUUCUGAAUGGAAUUGAUCCAGAUAUAAGGGACCCAUACAAUGACAAAUUCAUUCCUACUGAAGAUAUUUGUUCCUCUGGCAUUCCUGGCACGGACUAUUUUGGUACCAGUAAAUUGGACGAAUAGCACUGUAGAGCUGGCCAAGCUUGAGUGUGUGACUUCUAGCAAUACUGACAAACUCUCAAUUUCAAAUGUUCCGCUAGGAUCAGUUUUGGGCUUAUAUUGUAAUGGCUCAUGUAUUUACCUUUUGAACAUGCUUUGUGUUGCUUAAGGGGUAUGAGACUGUUGCUUCAAUGCGGCUGCAGUUUGUUGUAUCAGAACGGGGACACGCUGAUCAACUUUCAGUAGGGUAGACUGCAUGUGUCGUUCGAAUCAACUUUCGGUAGGGUGGACUGCAUGUGUUGUUUGGUGGAAAUUAAGCUAGACAGAUGAUCGUUUGUUAAUGUUGAUUUGGUUGAAAUCUUUAAUUUUGGAACUUGGAGGCUAUUUAUUGCAAGGGUUUGUCUGUAAUAUCCUAUAGUUUUCCGUGGACCCAAAUCUUAGUCGGUGCUUGCGAGAAAUGUUCCCCCAGAUCCAGAUGAGUAUGAUAGUGAGCUCGUGGAGCACUUUUUCUUGGUUAAUCAUCCGGAUCAUUAUCGAACCCGUCAGGUUGGCUUGAUGAAACUGAAGGUCUUUCUACCAUAAAAUCUGGUAGAUAUUUUGUAUGGGAACGGCCACGCUAUGGCUUCAUGUUUCUUGUCAAGAUUUAAAAUCACACCGUCGAAACCCAUUUGCUCAC
Eucalyptus grandis is the source of this 3930-nucleotide long non-coding RNA. RefSeq lists it as uncharacterized. NCBI's taxonomy places the organism in Eukaryota, Viridiplantae, Streptophyta, Magnoliopsida, Myrtales, Myrtaceae. The record is from RefSeq and is a predicted model, not a curated record. The transcript is spliced from 9 exons.